Small nucleolar RNA from Fukomys damarensis (Damara mole-rat), 74 nucleotides. Lineage: Eukaryota; Metazoa; Chordata; Mammalia; Rodentia; Bathyergidae. The record is from Ensembl.
UGGGCCAGUGAUGAAGUUGGAGGGUGUCUAAAGAAAACGUUUUGAUUAGAGCCACCUGGAACGCUGAGGUCCAU